UUUUUGUCUUGAUACAGUGUUCGUUUGAUUUAUAUUAACAAAUAAAUUUUAAUCAACUACAAAGUUUGUGUGUGCAAGGAGGAAUGUUCUUUCUCCGGAUGCCCUAAGUUUGUGUAUGUUGUUGUGUCAAAGAAGGGAUGAACACAACUUCGCAUUUGUUUUUACAUUUUGAAGUGGUGUUCAAUGUUUGGUUUAAGUUGAUGGAUUGGCUCAGGCGCAAUUUUAUCAAUCCGCCAAAUAUGUUCAUUCAUUGGGUUGGAUGGGACAAAAAGAAUCUCAAAGGGUCUUUGACAAAUUUGACAUAUACAAAUAUUUUUAUUCAUUGGGUUAUUUGAAAAGCGAGAAAUCACAUAAUCUUCAAAAAUAUGGCCUAGGGGAUGGAUGAUAUUUUUUUGCAGGUGGUGCGUUUAUCGUGGCGUUGGAGAUGAAGAUAUUUAUAUCUAAUAAAUAAACUAAGAGAUUAAGAUAUUUUUAUUUGUAGUGUAUCAUAUGCAUUUAUCGUUUCUUAAAAAAGUAAUGAGCAAAUAAAGUUUGUUUGCCAUUUAGCAAGAAAAGAUUUUGUCCACUAAAAUGAUUAAAAUUAAAGGAAGUGAUAUGUCUUUCUAUCUUUAUAGAAAAAAAAUAAAGAAAGG
RNAcentral lists this long non-coding RNA (632 nucleotides) under Medicago truncatula (barrel medic). RNAcentral describes it as "lncRNA gene2056". Lineage: Eukaryota; Viridiplantae; Streptophyta; Magnoliopsida; Fabales; Fabaceae. The record is from RNAcentral.